RNAcentral lists this ribosomal RNA (429 nucleotides) under Pseudomonadota bacterium. RNAcentral describes it as "Proteobacteria bacterium partial 16S ribosomal RNA". It matches the Rfam family "Bacterial small subunit ribosomal RNA", at positions 355 to 776 of the family's 1533-position model. The record is from RNAcentral. Lineage: Bacteria; Pseudomonadati; Pseudomonadota.
UGGGGAAUAUUGGACAAUGGGGGAACCCUGAUCCAGCCAUGCCGCGUGUGUGAAGAAGGCCUUAUGGUUGUAAAGCACUUUAAGCGAGGAGGAGGGUACUGGUAUUAAUACUACCAGGUACUGGACGUUACUCGCAGAAUAAGCACCGGCUAACCCUGUGCCAGCAGCCGCGGUAAUACAGAGGGUGCGAGCGUUAAUCGGAUUUACUGGGCGUAAAGCGUGCGUAGGCGGCUAAUUGAGUCGGAUGUGAAAUCCCCGAGCUUAACUUGGGAAUUGCAUUCGAUACUGGUUAGCUGGAGUGUGGGAGGGGAUGGUAGAAUUCCAGGUGUAGCGGUGAAAUGCGUAGAGAUCUGGAGGAAUACCGAUGGCGAAGGCAGCCAUCUGGCCUAACACUGACGCUGAGAUACGAAAGCAUGGGGAGCAAACAGG